This 1045-nucleotide ribosomal RNA is filed under the name uncultured bacterium. Its description in RNAcentral is "bacterial SSU rRNA". It matches the Rfam family "Bacterial small subunit ribosomal RNA", at positions 43 to 1075 of the family's 1533-position model. The record is from RNAcentral.
CAUGCCUAACACAUGCAAGUCGAACGGAAACGAUGCUAGCUUGCUAGCAGGCGUCGAGUGGCGGACGGGUGAGUAAUGUAUAGGGAUCUGCCUAGUAGUGGGGGACAACAUGUGGAAACGCAUGCUAAUACCGCAUACGCUCUACGGAGGAAAGUGGGGGACCUUUCGGGGCCUCAUGCUACUAGAUGAACCUAUAUUGGAUUAGCUUGUUGGUAAGGUAAUGGCUUACCAAGGCGACGAUCCAUAGCUGGUUUGAGAGAAUGAUCAGCCACACUGGGACUGAGACACGGCCCAGACUCCUACGGGAGGCAGCAGUGGGGAAUAUUGCACAAUGGACGAAAGUCUGAUGCAGCAAUGCCGCGUGUGUGAAGAAGGCCUUAGGGUUGUAAAGCACUUUCAGACGUGAGGAAAAGUAAUAAUUUAAUAAAUUAUUACCUUGACGUUAACGUCAGAAGAAGGACCGGCUAACUCCGUGCCAGCAGCCGCGGUAAUACGGAGGGUCCAAGCGUUAAUCGGAAUUACUGGGCGUAAAGCGCGCGUAGGCGGAUAUUUUAAGUCAGAUGUGAAAUCCCUGGGCUCAACCUAGGAACUGCAUUUGAUACUGGGAUAUCUAGAGUAUGGUAGAGGUGAGUGGAAUUUCAGGUGUAGCGGUGAAAUGCGUAGAGAUCUGAAGGAACAUCAGUGGCGAAGGCGACUCACUGGGCCAUUACUGACGCUGAGGUGCGAAAGCGUGGGUAGCAAACAGGAUUAGAUACCCUGGUAGUCCACGCCCUAAACGAUGUCAACUAGGUGUAUGGGAGUUUAACUCCUGUGUAUCGAAGCUAACGCGAUAAGUUGACCGCCUGGGGAGUACGGUCGCAAGACUAAAACUCAAAUGAAUUGACGGGGGCCCGCACAAGCGGUGGAGCAUGUGGUUUAAUUCGAUGCAACGCGAAGAACCUUACCUGGUCUUGACAUGUAGCGAAGGUUUUAGAGAUAGAACUGUGCCUUCGGGAACGCUAACACAGGUGCUGCAUGGCUGUCGUCAGCUCGUGUCGUGAGAUGU